RNAcentral lists this ribosomal RNA (489 nucleotides) under uncultured bacterium. Its description in RNAcentral is "partial 16S ribosomal RNA". It matches the Rfam family "Bacterial small subunit ribosomal RNA", at positions 28 to 507 of the family's 1533-position model. The record is from RNAcentral.
GACGAACGCUGGCGGCGUGCUUAACACAUGCAAGUCGAACGGAAAGGCCCCCACCUUGGUGGGGGUGCUCGAGUGGCGAACGGGUGAGUAACACGUGGGUGAUCUGCCCUGUACUUCGGGAUAAGCUUGGGAAACUGGGUCUAAUACCGGAUAGGACCAUGGUUUAGUGUCUCAUGGUGGAAAAAUUAUUGUUUUGGUGCAGGAUGAGCUCGCGGCCUAUCAGCUUGUUGGUGGGGUAAUGGCCUACCAAGGCGUCGACGGGUAGCCGGCCUGAGAGGGUGGACGGCCACAUUGGGACUGAGAUACGGCCCAGACUCCUACGGUAGGCAGCAGUGGGGAAGAUUGCACAAUGGGCGCAAGCCUGAUGCAGCGACGCCGCGUGGGGGAUGACGGCCUUCGGGUUGUAAACUCCUUUCGUUAGGGACGAAGCCACACCUUUUUUGGGUGUGGUGACGGUACCUUUGUUAAGAAGCACCGGCUAACUACGUG